AACGAACGCUGGUCGCAGGCCUAACAAUGCAAGUCGAGCGGCCGUAAAGAUACGGCAGCGGCAGACGGGACAGUAACACGUGGGAACGUACCCUUCGGUUCGGAAUAACUCAGGGAAACUUGAGCUAAUACCGGAUACGUCCGUAAGGAGAAAGAUUUAUCGCCGAAGGAUCGGCCCGCGGCUGAUUAGCUAGUUGGUGAGGUAACGGCUCACCAAGGCGACGAUCGGUAGCUGGUCUGAGAGGAUGAUCAGCCUCACUGGGACUGAGACACGGCCCAGACUCCUACGGGAGGCAGCAGUGGG
This 303-nucleotide ribosomal RNA is filed under the name uncultured Hyphomicrobiales bacterium. Its description in RNAcentral is "bacterial SSU rRNA". It matches the Rfam family "Bacterial small subunit ribosomal RNA", at positions 29 to 358 of the family's 1533-position model. The record is from RNAcentral. Lineage: Bacteria; Pseudomonadati; Pseudomonadota; Alphaproteobacteria; Hyphomicrobiales.